CGGCGAUCGUUCCGGAGCGACUCUCAGUUGUCCCAAGGAGAGUACAGCAUGCUACCAAAAGAGCUUGAAAUAUGUUUAAUUAUAUAAGGAAUGUUUCCAGAACAAACGGAAAAUUUACGUAUACUGCUUGAAGACUAUUAAGGUGUAGAAUAUUUAGAAUACCAGGGUAAUGGCUCCAGCAGAGCUAAUAGUUAGCCCUGGACUGGACA
Molecule: long non-coding RNA, 209 nt
Organism: Lepidothrix coronata (blue-crowned manakin)
Lineage: Eukaryota; Metazoa; Chordata; Aves; Passeriformes; Pipridae
Exons: 3
Source: RefSeq, a predicted model, not a curated record